GGGAGGAGGUGCUAGGCUGUUUGCUGGUUGCUAGCUGCGGCUGCUCGCCCGGCCUCCCGGCCGUUUCAUUGUCACCGGGCCUCGGAGUCAGCGCCGGGGCCGGGGGCGUGAAGUCGCCGGCCCGAAGCCUGGGCCCCGCCGGUCCCCGCCUGGAGGGCCCCGCGCACCCCUCGCCGUUCGGCCCCGCAGGCCCAGAGUCCCAGGCCCGACCCGCGCAGGGCCUACUUGUCCACCAUGAAAGGCUCCAGGGCCCUCAGCGGCCCCUCCGGCCCUCCCGAGGGCAGCCCGGAAAGCAUGGACCUGAGUCUGACAGGCCUCCCUCCGCCCAUGUCCCGGCGUCCCAACAGUGCCUCCACCGCCAAGCCCAUCGCCCGCUCCAUCUCUGUGGUCACUGGCAGCGAGCCAAGGAGGAAGAUGCUGGAGGCCCCAGGGCCCGGAGGCUCCCGGGCCAUCAGCAACCUUCGCAGAUCUAACAGUGCCACGCAGGUCAACCAACCACAAGCCAACCAGGCAUGGCCUGGCCCCCUAAGGCCAGAAGAGCCCCCGGACUUCCUGACACUCUUCGAGGGCAGCCCCGGUGGGAGAAAGAGGCCUACCGGUCUGAGCAAAGCUUCCAGCGAGAAGGGAGCCACGUGGAAUGUCCUGGAUGACCAGCCCAGGGCCUUCACCUUGCCACCCGAUGCCCAGAGUCCUGGCACCCUCGACAUGCCGGUGGGCCCACGGAGGAGAGAGUGCACGGUGCCCCUGGCCCCCAACUUUACCGCCAACAACAGGAGCAACAAGGGCGCCGUGGGCAACUGCGUCACCACCAUGGUGCACAACCACUACACCCCCUCGGAGAAGGUGCCGCCUCCCAAGAGCUCCAACCACAUGGCUCCCUCCCUCAACAACAUCAUCAAGGCAGCCACGGACGAGGGCGAGGGCAGCAGCCUCGGGAAGCCGCAAAAGAACGCGGCCCGUAGCAACCACACGGUCCAGAACAACUCGGGGGGCACCGCCGGCCAGCUCAGACGGAAGGAGGUGACCGAGGAGGAGGCUGAGAGGUUUAUCCACCAGGUGAACCAGGCCGCCAUCACCAUCCAGCGCUGGUACCGACAUCAAGUGCAACGGCGCCGAGCUGGAGCCGCCUGCCUGGAGCACCUGCUGGCGUCCAAGCAAGAGGGGCAGCGGCAGCGGCUAGGAGAGGGGACCCUCCUGGACCGGCACCAACAGAAGGAGGUGGCCAGGAGGAAGGCCCGGGAGGAGAAGGCGCGCCAGGCCCGGAGGGCAGCCAUCCAGGAACUGCAGCAGAAGCGAGCCCAGAAGUCAGGUAACGCUGACCUUGGGCUGCUGAAGGGGCCGGGGGAGCCGGGGAAGCCCCAGACCACCCAGGAGCCAAGCCUGAGGCCGGGGAGCGCCGCCCAGCAGACCCGCAAGGCCAAUAACACUGGGGCUGGCCUCUGCACUGCGGGCCCGGAGGACCCCUGCCAGCCUGCCCGCGACUCGUCGCCAGAGCCCCGGCAGCUUCCAGAGGACAAGCCUCAGGAUGCCAGCUCCCGGGACGUGGCUGGCGAGGGCCUGGAAGCUUUGGGCCCUGCUGGGAGCAGGGCCAAGUCCAGGGCAACCCUGGACGAGCUGCUGGACACGCUGAAGCUGCUGGAGCAGGAGCCUGAGCCGCUGCCCCGCCCCCAGGCCUACCACAAGGACAAAUACGCCUGGACUGACGAGGAGGACGAUUCCAGCUCCCUGACAGCCGACAACCUGGAGAAAUUUGGGAAGCUGAGUGUGGCUGCUUGCCCCCGCGAGGACGGGCCCCUGCUUUCGGAGGCCAAGCUGCAGAGUAUCAUGAGCUUCCUGGAUGAGAUGGAGAAGUCUGGGCAGGGCCUGCCGGCCUCGGCCCCCCAGGUGUGGAGGGGUCUCCAGGGGCCCGUGCCGGAGGAGGGGCUGGGGCGCCUGGAGCCUGCGUCCGAGGUCAGCACAUCGGUGAUGCGGCUGCAGCUGGAAGUGGAGGAGAAGAAGCAGGCGAUGGUGCUGUUGCAGAGGGCGCUGGCGCAGCAGCGCGACCUCACCAUCCGGCGGGUCAAAGAGACGGAGAAGGAGCUGGGUCGGCAGCUGCGGCAGCAGAAGGAGCACUACGAGGCCACCAUACAGCGGCACCUGUCCUUCAUCGACCAGGUGUUGAUCGAAGACAAGAAGGCUCUGGGUGAGAAGUGUGAGGCCCUGGUGGCCGAGCUGAAGCAGGGGGACCAGAGGCUCAAGGACAAGGAGGCCCAGAUGCGGGAGCAGCAUGAGCUGGAGAUUAAGAAACUCAAGGAACUCAUGAGCGCCACGGAAAAAGUCCGCAGGGAAAAGUGGAUCAAUGAGAAGACCCGGAAGAUCAAGGAGAUCACGGUCAAAGGCCUGGAGCCUGAGAUCCAGAAACUGAUCGCCAAGCACAAGCAGGAGGUGAAGAAGCUAAAGAGCCUGCACGCGGUGGAGCUGCUGCAGGCGGACGAGCGCGCGGCCCAGCGCUACGGACGCCAGGCGGAGGAGCUCCGCGAGCACCUGGAGCGGGAGAAGGAGGCGCUGGGCCGUCAGGAGUGGGAGCGUGCCCAGCAGCGCUUCGAGCAGCACCUGGAGCAGGAGCAGCGGGCGCUGCAGCAGCAUCGGCGGCGGCUCUACAACGAGGUGGCCGAGGAGAAGGAGCGGCUGGGCCAGCAGGCCGCCAGGCAGCGGGCGGAGCUGGACGAGCUGAGGCGGCAGCUGGAGGAGAGCAGCUCGGCAGGGGGCCGGGCCUUGAGGGCCGAGUUUGAGAAGGGGAGAGAGGAGCAGGAGCGCAGGCACCAGAUGGAACUGAAGGCCCUGAAGGACCAGCUGGAGGUGGAGAAACAGAUGUGGGAGGCCAACUCCGCCAAGAAGGAGGAAGCGUGGCUGCUGAACCGGGAACGGGAGCUGAAGGAAGAGAUCCGGAGAGGCCGGGACAAGGAGAUCGAGCUGGUCAUCCACCGGCUGGAGGCCGACAUGACGCUGGCCAGGGAGGAGAACGAGCGGGCCGCCGAGAGCCGGGUCAAACGCCUCCGGGAUAAGUAUGAGGCGGAGCUCUCAGAACUGGAACAGUCGGAGCGGAAGCUCCAGGAACGGUGCGCAGAGCUGAAGGGGCGCCUUGGGGAGGCCGAGGGGGAGAAUGUGCGUCUGCAGGGCCUGGUGCGGCAGAAGGAGAAGGAGCUGGCGGAUGUGAAGGCGGUAAAUGAGCAGCUGGCUGGCGAGCGCAGCAGCCUGGCCCAGGUCCUUCGCCAGGAGUUCGCUGACCGGCUGGCAGCUUCUGAGGAGGAGAACCGGCAGGUCAGGGCCGAGCUGGCCGAGCUGCGGGCCCGCCAGCGGCUGGAGCUGGAGCAGCUCACGCGGGAGAAGCAGGCGGAGCUGGAGGAGGUUCACGGGAGGGUGAAGCUGGCCCUGGCAAAGAAGGAGGAGGCCGUGAGCAGCCUCCGGAAGCAGCACGAGGCCGCGAUGAAGAGGGCCGACCACCUGGAGGAGCUGCUGGAGCAGCGCAGGCGGCCGUUCCCGAGUGCCAAGUGACCGCCGACAGCAGCAGGCUGAGGGCGACUGGCGGGAAGUGCUCUGGCCGCCCCUCAGGUGGAGCACCGAGGCUACGUCGUAACAGUAAAGAGGACACCCCCUGGAGGUGACAACCUGGAACCUGUGAGAAAUGG
RNA transcript from Globicephala melas (long-finned pilot whale), 3668 nucleotides. It is a transcript of the gene named centrosomal protein 131, with no coding region annotated. Lineage: Eukaryota; Metazoa; Chordata; Mammalia; Artiodactyla; Delphinidae. The record is from RefSeq and is a predicted model, not a curated record.